UCCAAGACAGUGAAAUCAUCUUUAUUGUACUUCUGACUGAACUAGCAAGGAGCAUUAGAGACAAUGAGAAAAACUCAAAAGAAGAUACUUUGAAGAAUGCUGGUAAUCAAACCCAACAAGUUUGUCAGGUGCAGAAAUAAAAGCUCCCAAACAAAGAUGUCACCGGAUUAAGAUGUGGAAAGACAUGUUACACCACAACAACUAUAAAUCCUGAGUAAUUUGAAUAUGGGCAACAACCAAGAAAAAUUACCCAUUGAUUUAGUCAGAAAUGACUCAUGGUAAUAGUAAUAGUAAAUGAUUAGAUAAAUAAAUAAAAAGUACAAAAUGGUUUUAAUUUUAAA
Molecule: long non-coding RNA, 341 nt
Organism: Cyprinus carpio (common carp)
Lineage: Eukaryota; Metazoa; Chordata; Actinopteri; Cypriniformes; Cyprinidae
Source: Ensembl